Molecule: long non-coding RNA, 189 nt
Organism: Nematostella vectensis (starlet sea anemone)
Lineage: Eukaryota; Metazoa; Cnidaria; Anthozoa; Actiniaria; Edwardsiidae
Exons: 2
Source: RefSeq, a predicted model, not a curated record
AUACAUGCAUUUAUUAAUUAUUUCCCUCUUGCUUGUAGAUGACCAAGGCCCUAUUUGAGAAGCCAUACACUACCCAUAGUAUUAGAAGGUCAGCUGCACGCUGGGCAGCCAGAUGUGGUGCUGAUGAUAGCACAAUCAAAAGGGCUGGUCGCUGGAAGUCGAGCAGCUUUGAACUUUACACCCAAGACG